This 164-nucleotide ribosomal RNA is filed under the name Lonicera macranthoides. RNAcentral describes it as "5.8S ribosomal RNA". It matches the Rfam family "5.8S ribosomal RNA". Rfam says of the family: 5.8S ribosomal RNA (5.8S rRNA) is a component of the large subunit of the eukaryotic ribosome. It is transcribed by RNA polymerase I as part of the 45S precursor that also contains 18S and 28S rRNA. The record is from RNAcentral. Lineage: Eukaryota; Viridiplantae; Streptophyta; Magnoliopsida; Dipsacales; Caprifoliaceae.
CAAACGACUCUCGGCAACGGAUAUCUCGGCUCUCACAUCGAUGAAGAACGUAGCGAAAUGCAAUACUUGGUGUGAAUUGCAGAAUCCCGUGAACCAUCGAGUCUUUGAACGCAAGUUGCGCCCGAAGCCAUUAGGCCGAGGGCACGUCUGCCUGGGCGUCACGC